This 253-nucleotide ribosomal RNA is filed under the name uncultured bacterium. RNAcentral's name for it is "partial 16S ribosomal RNA". It matches the Rfam family "Bacterial small subunit ribosomal RNA", at positions 524 to 776 of the family's 1533-position model. The record is from RNAcentral.
UACGGGGGGGGCGAGCGUUGUCCGGAAUUAUUGGGCGUAAAGGGCUCGUAGGCGGUUUGUCACGUCGGGAGUGAAAACUCGGGGCUUAACCCCGAGCCUGCUUCCGAUACGGGCUGACUAGAGGUAUGCAGGGGAGAACGGAAUUCCUGGUGUAGCGGUGAAAUGCGCAGAUAUCAGGGGGAACACCGGUGGCGAAGGCGGUUCUCUGGGCAUUACCUGACGCUGAGGUGCGAAAGCGUGGGGAGCAAACAGG